RNAcentral lists this long non-coding RNA (384 nucleotides) under Homo sapiens (human). RNAcentral describes it as "non-protein coding LINC01098:5". The record is from RNAcentral. Lineage: Eukaryota; Metazoa; Chordata; Mammalia; Primates; Hominidae.
GAGAGAAGACAAUGAGGUCAGCUAGAAUGAUGGAUUGUCAUCACUGGGGCACGGGAAAGGGGUUGAGCAAGUCAAUGUAUGUUUUCCAGAGCCUACAGAAUGUGUCUGAUUCUCUGAAGUAUAUUUUUUCUAAAUGCCAGAUUCAAGCAUUAAGCACUGUGCAGUUUUGAGAGAAGAAGUUAUAAAGCAAAACUGACUUGAGUAACCACCAGCCCAACAUUCGGGACUUUGUGGGGAUUGCUAUGGCUCUGCCGGACUUACAAGCAAUAGUGAUGCAGAACCUGUCAUUAGCAUGUGUAAUGCUUGUCAAAAAAUAAUCUCCCAAGAAAUGUUUUAAUUUUCACUGGUCAGUGCACUACCAAUACUAGUUUUGGCAUGGCGGAU